Molecule: long non-coding RNA, 703 nt
Organism: Ahaetulla prasina
Lineage: Eukaryota; Metazoa; Chordata; Lepidosauria; Squamata; Colubridae
Exons: 4
Source: RefSeq, a predicted model, not a curated record
UGGAGUGAUUGGUGAUACUCUUAUGUAGACAGGGCUUGGAAACAACCAUAUAAGCUAUUUUUCAUGAUUACCCAUUGUGAAAAUGGGAGAUACAAAAUGGUGACAACACCACCUCUAAACCUCUCACAUGGUCUAGAAGGCACCUGUUCAAUAUCUCAUGUUCAUCUAGGAUCAUAAAAUUUCUUCAUGUUGUAGACUGAAAGGCUGACGUAGAUAAGAAAGCAACAAAGCUGAACAACCAGAGUUCUCUUCUUAAGUGGGUAGAAUCAAGGAGUAAGAAGGGCCAACACAUGGAAUUUCAAUCUCCUAUAGCCUUUCAGCAAAUACUUAAGGAGGGAACAUUUCCUUCUACCAAGCAGCAAUGAAAAUUAGACUUGAAGAAUUGAAGCCUUCUGCUCUUGGACACAAAAUAUUAUCAGCAAGUUCUGUUAAAAUGCAAGCCAUCAUUCUAGUGAUGUCAUCUGGCUCCAGAGCAGUCACAUUUGCAGUUCUGUCUCUGAAAAUAUGCUGAGAAGAAACUCACCUGAGAAUUUGUUGGCUGAAAAUGUCCUUUUGCUCAGGGCUGACACGGGUCGAUGGAAAGCCAUCCUGCUGCAUCACUUCCUUGAUCCACACACUCAGGUAACUGAAGCAAUGCUUGUUGAGAGCAAAAAGAAUCUCAGCAAAAUGAUCCAUCAAAUUUCGUGAAGCUUGGCCACCUAUA